RNAcentral lists this long non-coding RNA (1239 nucleotides) under Sus scrofa (pig). RNAcentral's name for it is "lncRNA (ENSSSCG00015046577.1)". Lineage: Eukaryota; Metazoa; Chordata; Mammalia; Artiodactyla; Suidae. The record is from RNAcentral.
CUCCUGUAUAUCCUGGCUCCUCCCUUACCUCUCUGGAACAGUCCUCGGAGCUCUCUUAGAGGCUACUUCCCAAGCUCGCUUAAGGUCCAAACAAACUUCGCAAGUUUUAGGUCGCGCGUUUUUCUUCAUUCAACACCUCCUCCAUUUUCGCCACCAUGGUGCUGUCUGAAAUCUUUUCUGUUGUCUCUGACUGAAAAUACUUAAGUUGACGUAACCGACUCUAACCCUUAGGCUACCUGUAUUGAAGGCGUUAACGCUUUUCAGCUCCCAGAAGGGCCUGGGCCUGGCGGUGUGGGAACUACAUUUCCCAGAACGCUCUGCGGCCAGAGCGCAGUGUGGCUGGACCAAUGAGGAGUCCGGAGAGGGACGUUUCUGUCUCCUACGCGCCACUUCGGGGCGGGACUUCUGGCCUAGCCCUCCUGGCGGUUAUUUCAUCUGUUCUUGGCUGAGUCCCCUGGAUCAGAGGUUCCAGAGCAGUCGUACCCGAGGUGGCGGGAGAGAAAGCGUGAUCCCCCUGCACAAAGGAGGGUCUCAGGGAUCGGUGACCUUUGAGGGUGUGGCCAUGACUUUGACCUCGAGUUCCUGGCCAAGAAGAUCUAGCCCAAAGGACCCUAUACCAGGAGGUGAUGCUGCAGAGCUGGAAGACCUGCUUUGUUGGGUUUCCACAAAAGGGCAGCUGACUGGCCCAGUUUGGCUGAGGAAGGGGAUCUCCACAGGCCUCACAGCAGGGACUGGUGAUGAGCUAUUCUCCAAGGAGAAAGGUGAGUCAGACAGGUGCUCAGAAGGCAUUUGUCAUCACUGUCGCCUGGCAUCUUCAAGGGGAAAACAGUCUUAGUUAAAGGUCAAAAGCUCAGUUGUGCCCAGGUGCCUGCAGGGUCCUUCCUUUCUCCUAAGGCGUGGGCCGAGAUCAUCCACUGGUACAGGAGUUGAUCGUAGAGGGUGCACAGUCACGUCACCAAAUGGCUUUGAUGGGUGGCCUGAGAAACUUUUCCUUCCCCUCUUCUCUUGUGGGUCAGCAUAUAAAGAAGUAACCACAGUUCCAUGGGCAAGGACCUAUGCUCCGCUCAUUUCCUCCUCCCAGCUUCUUAGUCCUUGGCAGUGCAGGAAAAUUCAGCCAACACAGUGAGCCUCAAUUGAGAAGAUGGCGCUUGACUUUGAGAUGUCCCCUGCCCUUCUUUUGUGAAAUAUUGAGGAGAGUAGAUGAUACAUGAUAUCUAAAUAAAUGUCUUUAAUUAACCA